Molecule: ribosomal RNA, 253 nt
Filed under: uncultured bacterium
Lineage: Bacteria
Description: partial 16S ribosomal RNA
Rfam family: Bacterial small subunit ribosomal RNA
Source: RNAcentral
UACGGAGGGUGCAAGCGUUAUCCGGAAUCAUUGGGUUUAAAGGGUCCGUAGGUGGAUAAUUAAGUCAGAGGUGAAAGUUUGCAGCUUAACUGUAAAAUUGCCUUUGAUACUGGUUAUCUUGAAUCAUUGUGAAGUGGUUAGAAUAUGUAGUGUAGCGGUGAAAUGCAUAGAUAUUACAUAGAAUACCAAUUGCGAAGGCAGAUCACUAACAAUGUAUUGACACUGAUGGACGAAAGCGUAGGUAGCGAACGGG